AGAGUUUGAUCCUGGCUCAGGACGAACGCUGGCGGUGCGCCUAAUGCAUGCAAGUCGAACGAGCGAAGGGGCUUCGGCCCCCUAGCUAGUGGCAGACGGCUGAGUAACACGUAAGUGAUCUGCCCCGGAGAGGGGGAUAAGCCGGAGAAAUCCGGUCUAAUACCCCGUACGCUCCCCACGCUGCGGUGUGGAGAGGAAACGUUCCGACGCUCUGGGAGGAGCUUGCGGCCUAUCAUGGUAGUUGGUGGGGUAAAAGCCUACCAAGCCGAAGACGGGUAACCGGUGUGAGAGCACGAUCGGUCAGAGGGGGACUGAGACACGGCCCCCACUCCUACGGGAGGCAGCAGCAGGGAAUCUUGCGCAAUGGGCGAAAGCCUGACGCAGCGACACCGCGUGGGGGAUGAAGGCUCUUGGGUCGUAAACCCCUUUUGUCGGGGAAGAGAACGGACGGUACCCGACUAAUAAGGUUCGGCUAACUACGUGCCAGCAGCCGCGAUAAUACGUANGAACCGAGCGUUGUCCGGAUUUACUGGGCGUAAAGUGCGCGUAGGCGGUUUGUUAAGUCUCAUGUGAAAUCUCCCGGCUCAACUGGGAGGGGUCAUGGGAUACUGGCAGAC
This 617-nucleotide ribosomal RNA is filed under the name uncultured Chloroflexota bacterium. RNAcentral describes it as "SSU rRNA". It matches the Rfam family "Bacterial small subunit ribosomal RNA", at positions 8 to 641 of the family's 1533-position model. Lineage: Bacteria; Bacillati; Chloroflexota. The record is from RNAcentral.